This 413-nucleotide ribosomal RNA is filed under the name uncultured eukaryote. Its description in RNAcentral is "bacterial SSU rRNA". It matches the Rfam family "Eukaryotic small subunit ribosomal RNA", at positions 121 to 515 of the family's 1831-position model. The record is from RNAcentral.
UCGGCGUUCCGCGCCGCGGAUAACCGUAGUAAUUCGUAGGGCUAAUACGUGCGAAGCGCCGAAGCCGCGAGGCGACGGCGUUCUCGCCGGAUGUAGGAACCGACCCGGGGACCGCCGGGGCAACCCCGGCGCCCCCGAGACGGGGCGAACCACGGUGAAAUGACGGAUCGUCGGCCCCGCGCCGGCGACUCGCCGAAUGAGUUUCUGACCUAUCAACUCGAGACGGCGGGGUAGAGGCCCGCCGCGGUAACGACGGGUAACGGGGAAUCAGGGUUCGAUUCCGGAGAGGGAGCCCGAGAAACGGCUACCACUUCCAAGGAAGGCAGCAGGCGCGCAACUUACCCUAAUCUCGAUUCGAGGAGGUAGUGACAAGAAAUACCGAUGCGGGACCCUACGGGUGCCGCGUUCGGAAU